This 333-nucleotide ribosomal RNA is filed under the name uncultured eukaryote. RNAcentral describes it as "partial 18S ribosomal RNA". It matches the Rfam family "Eukaryotic small subunit ribosomal RNA", at positions 1469 to 1796 of the family's 1831-position model. The record is from RNAcentral.
ACCCUUAGAUGUUCUGGGCCGCACGCGCGCUACACUGCUUUGUUCAACAAGUUUGAUUUCCCUGCUUUCGAAAGGGGUGGGUAAUCUUUUAAACGCAAAGCGUGCUUGGGAUCGAUUUUUGCAAUUUUAAAUCGUCAACGAGGAAUCCCUUGUAUUUGCAAGUCAUCAACUUGCAGAGAAUACCGUCCCUGCUCUUUGUACACACCGCCCGUCGCACCUACCGAUUGAGAGCAUAGGUGAAAACUCAGGAUCUUAUCUCUUGGACCUUCGGGUACCUUUAGAUUAGAGAAUUUGUUUAAACCUCCGUUCUUAGAGGAAGGUGAAGUCGUAACA